GAGCAAUAGAAAAAAAAAAUGUUAAAAAAAAAAAAAAGAAAAAUCCCUGAAACUGGCACUCUCAGGAAAGGGCAAUGAAUUCUGCAGGAAGAGGAGGGAAGCAGGGGCUGCGCUCCCACUGCCUGGCUGCAGGGUCCCCCCAUCCCAGCACAUCUCACAGCCCGCUUGUCCAGCCAGCCCCGCAGUAGGAAAGGCAGGUUGGAUGCUGCAGGGCUGAGGCUGCAUUGUGGCACCAAGUGCCCAGAGGAGGGGAGAGGUAAACCCCUGGCUUCACCAGCCCUUAGCAAGGAGUUGGAUCAGGCCCUACAGGGCCCUUGGUAAUGCAGCAUGAUAUCCGGAUCAGCUCAGCAGCCCUCAGCAGAAUGAAAUCUCUGCAUUCAGCAGCAUUUCAAGGAUCUUGGGCUCAGUCCUAUUCAUCAGGGGGAGCAGACUCCAGGGAAGCACGUUCUUCACUCGUCCGGUGACUAACAGUUGAUCUUCCAAAGAAUGAGCCAGAUGGUUCCCAUGAGAAGUGAUCAGCUCUCCUGGAGUCUAUGAACCAGAAAAAGAUAGAGUCUGGGUGCCUCUUGCCAGGACCUGUCUGAAGCUGAGAUGAUGAGUGCAGGUGCACCAGGAGCUGGUGCCUGGGGGAUUCCCUCCACCUUGGCUCAUCAGCCCCACGAACUGAAGGGACAGCUUCCCCCAGCUUAAGGGCAUCACAGAGCAUAAGGAUGCACGUCUCCUUUGAGGAUACACACGGAGUCUCUCCAGAGCACAGCUCUGAGCUGUAGCUCAGGAAAGGGAACGAGAUCUGCUGUGCUGACUCAGCCUCGGCUGCACAGGAAUAAACAGUCAGAAAGGAACCAUUAACUCAAUAAGACUGAAACGUAUGUGACAAUGCAUAUGUCAGACACUCAUCUCCUCGCCGUAAAUAAUAUACAGAUACAUUUCAGCAUACAGUUCAUUGUCUCUGACCAACGUCUUACUUCACAGGGGAGUUUACAACUUUAUUUGAGGUCUUUACAGAGUGGAUGUCAACUUAAAUCUAGAGAAAGUGGACAGAGAAAAUGGAGAAAGCAUGAGAUUUAAAGCAAGCCAGCAUUCUGUCCUUGUAUUCCUGGGAAAUUUUGUGCACUCACUGUGCCCUGUGAUUGGUGUGGCUUCCAUAGUGCUAUUCACUGAAAAGAGAGGCCUUCAGGAAAAAAAAUGCAAACUUCCUUUUUGCAUUUUCAGUAUAAGCAAGUUCCAUUUCCUGAUGAUACCUGGAUUUGUUUUAAUAUGAGGUUUCCAUAAAUCAGCUGCACACAGAAUAUGUUACACAGUCUGUAAGUGAGGAGGGGAUGCAGCAGCAGGGGUCGGGCUCUGCUCAUCACCAGUGACAGACCACAUGGGAAUGGCACAAAGCUGCACCAGUGGAGGGUCAGAAUGGACAUCAAGAACAAUUUCUUCACCAUGAGGGUGGACAGACACUGAAACAGGAUUCUGAGAAAUGCCUCAUGGCUGCCAGUGUCAAGAGGCAUUUGGACAAUGCUCGCAUUAAUUAAGAGGUCAGGCAACUGGAUUCAAUAAUAUUUGAAGGUCCUAUCCAACUAAACUAUUUUAUUAUUCUAUUCUAUUUCACUCUAUUAUUCUACUGUCCCAUUCCAUUCUAUGUCUGACAGAGAGGCAGAAAUUGGAGAUAACCAGCCAACUAUCCAUUUCCUAAAGCGCAGCAUCAGGGCUGAGGUGACACAUGGGUUGUUGGUCCCACUGCUCAACAUUCAAACAGAGGAGGAAUUUGAUGACUGAGACUGAGCUCCAUUUUGCAGAGUGCAGGAAAACAAGAAGUCACAGAGAAUUAUAGAAUAAUAGAACUGUUUGAUUUAGAAGGGACCCUUAGAGGCCAUCUAGUCCAACUUCCCUGCAGUGAGCAGGGACACCUACAGCUAGAUCAGG
Long non-coding RNA from Phasianus colchicus (ring-necked pheasant), 1914 nucleotides. RefSeq lists it as uncharacterized. The record is from RefSeq and is a predicted model, not a curated record. Lineage: Eukaryota; Metazoa; Chordata; Aves; Galliformes; Phasianidae.